Long non-coding RNA from Ahaetulla prasina, 2953 nucleotides. RefSeq lists it as uncharacterized. Lineage: Eukaryota; Metazoa; Chordata; Lepidosauria; Squamata; Colubridae. The transcript is spliced from 3 exons. The record is from RefSeq and is a predicted model, not a curated record.
UAUGUUCCUAAGAUAGGCAUCUCUCGCCCUGUCUCGAUUUAUAUACUUUCUUAUCCAAUUUAAAUUUAGAAGAAUGAUUAUCUGAUAAAGAAAAUAUAUCCAGCUGGCUUAGCUUCUUUCUUUGGAAAAGGAAUGCAUUCACAUUCUUCCUUCUGAACGGAUUGGAAGCUGCAUCAUUCUGCAUGUCUGAUUUUCAUCAUUGGCACUUUCUGAAUAGUUAAGCCCUGCUUUUUUAGGCCUGUAGGAUAUUUAAAUAACUUCCCCUAAACACCCAAGAGCACUAAGUUAUAAUGCCCUCCCAAUAGCUAUUCACGAGCGCAAAUAAAAAAAAAGUCUUUAAGAGGUAAAAUUGUGCCCUUGCAGAGAAGGACUCUUUGAAUCUAUAGUUCAUAUUCUGUUAGACUGCACUUUCUAUAAGGACACAAGGGCCCACUUCCCAAUCUCCCAAUAUAAUGAAGUUGGUAGACAAUUCUGAUUUACAGGUAGUUCUUGAUCAUUUGUUUAAUGAUUGUUCAAAGUUAUGAUGGCCUUGAAAAAAGUGACAUGACUUGUACUCACAAUUACAACUAUUGCACCACCCCUGCAGUCAAUGAUCGCAAUUUGGGAACAUGACAAUUGACUUGGCAAUUGAUAUACCCUUUACCACGCCCUGUGGUCACAGGAUCGUGAUUUGUAAACUUUUUUGCUUAUUUCCAGCAAAAUUGCCCAUUGGGAAAGCUGGAUUUGCUUAUCAAUGCAUAAUUCAAUGAAUAGAAUAGAAUAUAACAGAACAGAACAGAAUAGAAUUCUUUAUUGGCCAAGUGUGAUUGAAUACACAAGGAAUUUGUCUUUGGUGCAUACGCUCUCAGUGUACAUAAAAAGGCAAGAUAAACCCGUCAAGAAUCACAAGGCACAACAUCCAGUGACAGUCAUAUGGUACAAUAAGAAAUCAAAUCAUACUAGGAAACAAUAUCAAUAUAAAUUGCAAAGAUACAAGCAACAAAGUUACAGUCAUGCAGUCACAAGUGGGAGGAGAUGGGUGACAGGAACGAUGAGAAGACCAAUAGCAAUAGCAAUAGCAAUAGCAAUAGUUUGACAGUUUGAGGGAAUUAUUUGUUUAUCAGAGUGAUGGCGUUCGGGGAAAAAACUGUUCUUGUGUCUAGUUGUUCUGAUGUGCAGUGCUCUACAGUGUUAUUUUGAGGGUAGGCGUUGAAAUAGUUUAUGUCCAGGAUGUGACGGUGUAUAAAUAUUUUCACAGCUCUCUUUUUGACUCGUGCAGUAUACAGGUCCUCAAUGGAAGGCAAGUUGGUAGCAAUUGUUUUUUUCUGCAGUUCUAAUUAUUCUCUGUGUGUGUCUUGUUGGGUUGCAGAACCAACCAGACAGUUAUAGAGGCGCAAAUGACAGACUCAAUAAUUCCUCUGCAGAACUGGAUCAGCAGCUCCUUGGGCACUUUGAGCUUCCUGAGUUGGCACAGAAAGAACAUUCUUUGUUGUGCUUUUUUGAUGACAUUUUUGAUGUUAGGUAUCCAUUUUAGGUUUUGAGAUAAUGAGGUCUUUAGGUAAUGAGUGAUUCACUUAACAACUGUGUGAUUGGCUUAAUGACCUCUGUAAAAAAUGUCAUAAAAUUGGGACUAACUCAGUGGUGAAAUCUAAAUUUCUUUCCUACUGUUUCUGUGGGCAUGGCUUGGUGGGGUCAUGUGACUGGGUGGGCAUGGCUAUGUAACCAUGUGACUGGGGGAUCAAAAGACAGAAACUCACUAACAAUGUCGUUCUGGAGCAGGGUUGGACUAGAUGACCUCCAGGUCCCUUCCAGCCCUGGAUUAUCUUUUGAAGCUGCGUCUAGUGCCAGAAUUCUGGUCAGAGAUGCUAAGGAAGAACUGCAGCCACCAGAGCCCAGGAACCAACAACUUUUCAGAUCCUAUUGAUUUUUCCUGCAAGAACUAUUUUCAUUUAAGUAAAGGAAACAUCAACAUCUCUUUCCUUUUCCCCACUCCUUUUUCUUUUCUUUACUUCCUGUACAGCAAGUGAAUUGUUUACAUUAAAAGAAAGCGAGGCUGCAGCAUUUAUUCUAAAAGUGAAGCCAAGGUUGAUUCUAGAAUCCUUUGCAUUUUUUUUUAUUUACCAACCUCCUCAAAACCUUGCUGAAUUCUGUUAUAGUCAAGAUUGAUUAAAAUCAUGUGUGUAAGAGGUGAGAAAUAAAAGACAUUGGAGGGAAACAAGAUACCUAAGGACACUAAGGGAUUGUGCACUUGACGUGUCAUUUAAAUGGAAGAAAGUUUAGUAAAUGACCUUGUAAGUAAUCAUAAUGCAGGUGAUCUGCUGGUAUAGAUGUAGAUAAGACCCUCAGCCCAAGGCCUGUUCACCAUAUGCAGCAGAGAAAGUCUCAUUCUUCUCUGCUGUAACAUUAACAGUAUUACAGUGGUGGAAGGAAUACCUUGGAGAUAUUUGAGCCACGGUGGUGCAGUGGUUAGAGUGCAGCCCUGCAGGCUGCUUCUGCUGAUCACCGGCUGCCAGCAGUUUGGCAGAUCAAAUCUCACCAGGCUCAAGGUUGACUCGGCCUUCCAUCCCUCUGAGGUCAAUAAAAUGAGGACCCAGAUUGUUGGGGGCAACAUGCUGACUUUGUAAACAGCUUAGAGAGGGCUGUAAAGCACUGUGAAGCGGUAUAUAAGUCUAAGUACUAUUUGUGCUCCAAAUUGUUGUUUUCCCAUUGCCAUUGGCGAUGUUGGAGGUAAUGUAUCCAGUCGGGUGUUAUACUUACUUCAUAUAGAGUGCUAUCUAAAUGGUAUAUACCAGGGAUGGCUAACCUUUUUGCCAUCGCGUGCCAAAAGUGGGGGGAAGCUGUGGGGGGGGGUCACGCACAUGUGUGCCCACAGUCAUAAUUCAAUGCACCCUAUGCAUGUGCAUGCGACCCCCCACUUUUGGCAUGGUAGGCCCAUUUUUCACCCUUCCCAAGCUCCAGAGGCUUUCUAGGAGCC